RNAcentral lists this ribosomal RNA (305 nucleotides) under uncultured bacterium. RNAcentral's name for it is "bacterial SSU rRNA". It matches the Rfam family "Bacterial small subunit ribosomal RNA", at positions 333 to 656 of the family's 1533-position model. The record is from RNAcentral.
GUUUCCCUACGGGGGCAGCAGUGGGGAAUAUUGCACAAUGGGGGGAACCCUGAUGCAGCGACGCCGCGUGGGCGAUGGAGUAUUUCGGUAUGUAAAGCCCUAUCGGCAGGGAAGAAGCUGACAGUACCUGACUAAGAAGCCCCGGCUAACUACGUGCCAGCAGCCGCGGUAAUACGUAGGGGGCAAGCGUUAUCCGGAUUCACUGGGCGUAAAGGGAGCGCAGGCGGCACGGCAAGCCUGGUGGGAAAACCCGGGGCCCAACCCCGGGAGUGCAUUGGGAACUGCCGCGACAGAGGUCCGGGGGG